This is a long non-coding RNA of Mytilus californianus (California mussel), 852 nucleotides long. RefSeq lists it as uncharacterized. Lineage: Eukaryota; Metazoa; Mollusca; Bivalvia; Mytilida; Mytilidae. The transcript has 3 exons. The record is from RefSeq and is a predicted model, not a curated record.
AACGAUACCCCCUGUCGAAACGCAACUGUGGUUGAUUUAGUUCUUAACGCGUAAUUGUUUUAACAGGAAACUGUCAUUUUUAUUUAGAAUUUCAAAGCCGAGGAGGAAUGUUUAUGCUUAAAUCAUGUUUUGCCGUUUUCUUUUGAAUAAUAAUUGCAUGUUAACCUUGUGAACUCACAAUUAAUAAACACUACUAUAUAAGUAAAGCUGAUGCGAUGUUAUUCUAAACGGUGGAGAAUUACUUGAUUUACUACAGUGAGUAUAUCGUUACUAAGCAUUCUAAGAUGUCUUUUGUUGAAGGAAAACUGGUACGGUUGACGCUUGUAUUCUUAAUUUGCUUUGUUUUCAUGGAUACAACUAGCGCAGGAUGUUGUCGUAAAUUUAAAGAAAAGUACUGCAAAGACUGCACUAAAGGUACUCCUUGUUGUGGAUAUGAUAAAUGUAACAUAUUCUGUUGUGGAUGUAGGUGUCGUACAGAACCGAGCGGUAAAGAUUGUUUUGUACGUGAUGGUGCAUGUAAGUGUUACAAGGCAAAAGGAAAACGUAGCGCACCAUUUGCUACUACCGACAUGUCUGCUUAUGUGACGUUUAUGGGUCUAGACAUCAACAAGAAUGGAAUGAUGGAACAGUUUGAGUUCACUACAGCAUUGGAACAGAGGCAAAUAACGGACAACGCGACCGUGUUUCAUCACUGGUCAAUCAUGGACGAAGAUAAAGAUGGAAUUAUUAGUCUUGAAGAAUUUGACCGAGAAAAAUUGUAGUUUGCCUGGAACAUAGUUUGUUAUAAGUAAAAAUGAUAUUGAAGAGGCGGAAAGUUUUCAAAUUUGAAAUAAAACGAAACAAAAUAUUGCA